This is an RNA transcript of Dendrobium catenatum, 1084 nucleotides long. RefSeq lists it as uncharacterized. The transcript is spliced from 4 exons. The record is from RefSeq and is a predicted model, not a curated record. NCBI's taxonomy places the organism in Eukaryota, Viridiplantae, Streptophyta, Magnoliopsida, Asparagales, Orchidaceae.
CGGAUUUCUCUCGUAAAGCUAAAAUCUCUUCUAAUUCCCGACUCUUCUUCCUCGGGAUAUUGUUUUCUUUACUUUUAUGAGAACGCGGCCUCCUCCUACUGCUUAUCUUCAGGAGCACGCACGCCUCGACUCGAUCGGCAUAAGGCGAAGUCUGUGUUUUAAUCGCUGGCGUCUUCCCGGAAGGAUCAGGCUGCUAUUGCAUCGCUGGGCGAUGCUGCAAGAGUGGGGCGGGUGAUGGAGAAGCCGUUGUUGGCGACUGGACGGCUGGAAGACCGCGUGCCGCUCUCCGAUGUGGUUGCGGAUUGCGUGCGUCGUUGGUUCCGGGAUACCUUAGAGGAGGCCAAGACCGGGGAUGCCAUGAUGCAGGUCCUUGUCGGCCAGAUGUACCAGAGCGGGUAUGGCGUUCCUCCGAACGAACAAAAGGCUAAUGCAUGGUUUACGAAAGCUUCAAGGCACCGUUCUUCCGUUUGGAAGGUUAGCGAGAAGCAUCCAGGUUAUAAUGCUAGUGAUUCAGAUUCUGAUGAGACUAGCAUGGAGAAGAGCUAAUUCUGUUUCACAUGGAUGGACUACUUUGGGGGUAAGUUUGUACUACAUUAAAAGAAAGAAAAGGGUUUUCCCAGUGCAUGAGACUAUUCACGAGUUUCUUUGGUAGGUUGACUCUUGUUCAUUUCUGUGGCAAUUCUUGUUCAUCAGCGCAUCAGUGCCUGUACAACUUUCCAUCCCUAUCCGGCCUUCAUUCAUCAGAAUUCAUAGCACAUUAUUAACCGAAUUUCAUACACAACAUGAUAUCCAUUUUCUAGCAGUCAUUUUCUCCCUAUCGUGUUGAUAAAUAUGUAAUCUUUGCUUUCUUACUUAGCUGAAAUGCUCAAUUCUGUGAUUGUCCAUCCUUACUUUAAUAACUUUGUGUUAGAAUUUUUCUCCAAAUUAUAGACUUGUUAUGUCCACAGCUUAAACUUUGUAGGAGUGAGAAUAAUAUUCAGUUUAGAUAUGUCGCUAUCGUGGUCUGAAAAGUUGUUAGCUGUUCCAAACUUGUUAGAACCAAGUUGUUUUUGACAAUAAUAGAUAAAUUCACUCUAUUUAUUAA